UAAGAGUUAAUGCAAAUGAUCCAGUGAAU
This 29-nucleotide non-coding RNA is filed under the name Rattus norvegicus (Norway rat). Lineage: Eukaryota; Metazoa; Chordata; Mammalia; Rodentia; Muridae. The record is from RNAcentral.